This 109-nucleotide microRNA precursor is filed under the name Paramuricea clavata. The record is from RNAcentral. Lineage: Eukaryota; Metazoa; Cnidaria; Anthozoa; Malacalcyonacea; Plexauridae.
GAAUAUCAAUCAAUCUCGUUCCCAGAGUAUGCCUGUUCGCGGGUUAGGUUGUGGCAUGACCUAACCUGCGAACAGGCAUACUCUGGGAACGAGAUUGAUCUGUUUUCUU